CUGCUAUCUAGCUUUGCACUGUUUAUAUCCAACGUUUGACCGUCCAUCUUAUUUUAAAAAAAUAUUAUUAAUAUUUCUAUGUUAUUAGAUGAUAAAAUAUGAAUAGUACUUUAUGUGUGACUAUUUUAUUUUUAUUUUUUUAUAAAUAUUUUAAAUAAGAAUAACGGUCAAACGUCAGACAACAAAACCCGUCAAUGGAGGUAGU
This 205-nucleotide microRNA precursor is filed under the name Oryza sativa Indica Group (long-grained rice). RNAcentral's name for it is "MIR812 microRNA precursor family". It matches the Rfam family "MIR812 microRNA precursor family". Lineage: Eukaryota; Viridiplantae; Streptophyta; Magnoliopsida; Poales; Poaceae. The record is from Rfam by way of RNAcentral.